ACAGUCAUCGACUAGCGGUCUAGGUCGCUACCCUCUCAAGGUGGAAACACCAGUUCAAAUCUGGUUGGCUGUA
RNAcentral lists this transfer RNA (73 nucleotides) under Synechococcus phage S-CRM01. It matches the Rfam family "tRNA". Rfam says of the family: Transfer RNA (tRNA) molecules are approximately 80 nucleotides in length. Lineage: Duplodnaviria; Heunggongvirae; Uroviricota; Caudoviricetes; Pantevenvirales; Kyanoviridae. The record is from Rfam by way of RNAcentral.